This 429-nucleotide ribosomal RNA is filed under the name Bacillota bacterium. Its description in RNAcentral is "Firmicutes bacterium partial 16S ribosomal RNA". It matches the Rfam family "Bacterial small subunit ribosomal RNA", at positions 355 to 776 of the family's 1533-position model. Lineage: Bacteria; Bacillati; Bacillota. The record is from RNAcentral.
UAGGGAAUCUUCGGCAAUGGACGGAAGUCUGACCGAGCAACGCCGCGUGAGUGAAGAAGGUUUUCGGAUCGUAAAGCUCUGUUGUUAGAGAAGAACGUUGGUAGGAGUGGAAAAUCUACCAAGUGACGGUAACUAACCAGAAAGGGACGGCUAACUACGUGCCAGCAGCCGCGGUAAUACGUAGGUCCCGAGCGUUGUCCGGAUUUAUUGGGCGUAAAGCGAGCGCAGGCGGUUCUUUAAGUCUGAAGUUAAAGGCAGUGGCUUAACCAUUGUACGCUUUGGAAACUGGAGGACUUGAGUGCAGAAGGGGAGAGUGGAAUUCCAUGUGUAGCAGUGAAAUGCGUAGAUAUAUGGAGGAACACCGGUGGCGAAAGCGGCUCUCUGGUCUGUAACGGACGCUGAGGCUCGAAAGCGUGGGGAGCAAACAGG